UUCCUGAGUUUAAGAGUGAGAUUCGUUGA
RNAcentral lists this non-coding RNA (29 nucleotides) under Rattus norvegicus (Norway rat). The record is from RNAcentral. Lineage: Eukaryota; Metazoa; Chordata; Mammalia; Rodentia; Muridae.